CUCUGUGACUGGCUUGCUUGAUAGUUAGGGUCUGAUUGCUGCCUGAGACACCAUAUCGGUACUCCUCAGAGUUGAUGCAUAGUGUUCAUAUGAGGAGAGACUUUCCCUUGUCUCCGUCAUCUGUGAUUUCACUUCCCUGACAGAAGACGAAGCUUCCAUCUCAGAUGUUUUCUUAAAUGAUGAAACAGCAUACGCCUCUGUUCUUGUCAGCUCAGGGAAAACAGAUCUGGGGACCUCUUCAUCUCUGCGUCGGGAAGCAUAGGUGGUAUAAUCCCCUCCUGUUACGUCCAGCGUUGCAUAGUCAGAAGCUUCGCCCUUGUAGUUGGUGCACACAGCACGGUGAUCACAGGAUCUGGUUUGCCACUGAAAGGAAUCUUGAUGCUGACCACUUCACCUCGGAGAGCAUGAACUGCUCCCAUGCCUUCAAGAGUUUUAGGAUGGCAUCAACUGUUCCAAAAACAUUGCUGAGCUGGACUUUGUAUUUCCCAGCAUGAGUCUUACGUUGGACAUUCUUCAUGACAAGUGGGUAACCAGGAUGGAACUGUGGUGUUGCUUGCAGGAGAAGCUUACUACUGGUUUCUACUUCUCCAACCUCAUUGGUGGCUAUGCAGGCACUGUCUCCAGACUGUCUAUAUUCAACCCAGUAUCCAAGAAUUUCUUUGCCACCAUCACAUUCAGGUUUCUCCCACUGUAGAGUGACACUAUCUUUGGAUAUUGAAAGAAUCUCAAGUUCUCCUGGUUGG
Molecule: non-coding RNA, 743 nt
Filed under: Pongo abelii (Sumatran orangutan)
Lineage: Eukaryota; Metazoa; Chordata; Mammalia; Primates; Hominidae
Source: RNAcentral